CACGUGUCAAACACAUCUGAAAGAAGGGAAAGGGAGAUGACAGUGCCAACCUCGCAGAGUGAGGAGGAGGGAAAUGGCAGUCAAGAAACCAGCAGCUGACACAGAGCAGGCAGGUAAUCAGUGAUGGUCAUUAUCCCUUCCCCU
RNAcentral lists this long non-coding RNA (144 nucleotides) under Capra hircus (goat). RNAcentral's name for it is "lncRNA (ENSCHIG00000005987.1)". Lineage: Eukaryota; Metazoa; Chordata; Mammalia; Artiodactyla; Bovidae. The record is from RNAcentral.